AUGGAGGACGCAGCAACUUCGAACCCAGCUCCACCUAAUACUAUUAUCAAUCUCCCUGAUGAUGAUGAGGAUGAAGAACCACUGAAGCGCAGGAGGAGUAGGAAAGCGUCCGCCAGUAAGGUGCCCCAGGAUGUGACGGCGCCUGAGAUUCUGAUUGCGGAGGAAGAGAACACCACUCGACACACGGUGUCCUUCGCAGAUCCAUUGACGAGUGCUCCGCAGCCCUCUCUCUUCACGACGCACCACGUCCCGGAGGACCAAGCCGGCGCGGCGAAGGAGGCAAUACGCCAGGCGGGAAUCAUGAUGGAGCAGUUGAAGACUAUCCGGGACGCGAGCCAGGCAGCUUAUGACGCCAGUUCUGCCCUCCAGAGCAAUGUUCAGGUCAGUCGACCACUGUUUGUUCUGUUGGAUAUGCUGCCAAAAACUUUUCCUUUCCGGGAUUUAUAG
This 447-nucleotide ribosomal RNA is filed under the name Triticum aestivum (bread wheat). RNAcentral's name for it is "partial small subunit ribosomal RNA". Lineage: Eukaryota; Viridiplantae; Streptophyta; Magnoliopsida; Poales; Poaceae. The record is from RNAcentral.